GGUCCGUUAGUCUAGUGGUUAGGACGACUGGUUUUGAUCAGUUGUUGAAUCCAGUAAGCACCGGUUCGAACCCGGUAUGGACCU
Verticillium longisporum is the source of this 84-nucleotide transfer RNA. It matches the Rfam family "tRNA". From Rfam's summary of the family: Transfer RNA (tRNA) molecules are approximately 80 nucleotides in length. Their secondary structure includes four short double-helical elements and three loops (D, anti-codon, and T loops). Further hydrogen bonds mediate the characteristic L-shaped molecular structure. tRNAs have two regions of fundamental functional importance: the anti-codon, which is responsible for specific mRNA codon recognition, and the 3' end, to which the tRNAs corresponding amino acid is attached (by aminoacyl-tRNA synthetases). tRNAs cope with the degeneracy of the genetic code in two manners: having more than one tRNA (with a specific anti-codon) for a particular amino acid; and 'wobble' base-pairing, i.e. permitting non-standard base-pairing at the 3rd anti-codon position. NCBI's taxonomy places the organism in Eukaryota, Fungi, Ascomycota, Sordariomycetes, Glomerellales, Plectosphaerellaceae. The record is from Rfam.